GACGAACGCUGGCGGCGUGCCUAAUACAUGCAGGUAGAACGCUGAAGGAGGAGCUUGCUUCUCUGGAUGAGUUGCGAACGGGUGAGUAACGCGUAGGUAACCUGCCUGGUAGCGGGGGAUAACUAUUGGAAACGAUAGCUAAUACCGCAUAAUAGUAGAUGUUGCAUGACAUUUGCUUAAAAGGUGCAAUUGCAUCACUACCAGAUGGACCUGCGUUGUAUUAGCUAGUUGGUGGGGUAACGGCUCACCAAGGCGACGAUACAUAUCCGACCUGAGAGGGUGAUCGGCCACACUGGGACUGAGACACGGCCCAGACUCCUACGGGAGGCAGCAGUAGGGAAUCUUCGGCAAUGGACGGAAGUCUGACCGAGCAACGCCGCGUGAGUGAAGAAGGUUUUCGGAUCGUAAAGCUCUGUUGUAAGAGAAGAACGAGUGUGAGAGUGGAAAGUUCACACUGUGACGGUAACUUACCAGAAAGGGACGGCUAACUACGUG
RNAcentral lists this ribosomal RNA (495 nucleotides) under uncultured bacterium. RNAcentral's name for it is "partial 16S ribosomal RNA". It matches the Rfam family "Bacterial small subunit ribosomal RNA", at positions 28 to 507 of the family's 1533-position model. The record is from RNAcentral.